This 301-nucleotide ribosomal RNA is filed under the name uncultured bacterium. RNAcentral describes it as "partial 16S ribosomal RNA". It matches the Rfam family "Bacterial small subunit ribosomal RNA", at positions 509 to 807 of the family's 1533-position model. The record is from RNAcentral.
CAGUCGCCGCGGUAAUACGUAGGUGGCAAGCGUUGUCCGGAAUUAUUGGGCGUAAAGGGCUCGCAGGCGGUUUCUUAAGUCUGAUGUGAAAGCCCCCGGCUCAACCGGGGAGGGUCAUUGGAGACUGGGAAACUUGAGUGCAGAAGAGGAGAGUGGAAUUCCACGUGUAGCGGUGAAAUGCGUAGAGAUGUGGAGGAACACCAGUGGCGAAGGCGACUCUCUGGUCUGUAACUGACGCUGAGGAGCGAAAGCGUGGGGAGCGAACAGGAUUAGAGACCCCCGUAGUCCCUGUCUCUUAUAC